Long non-coding RNA from Tigriopus californicus, 432 nucleotides. RefSeq lists it as uncharacterized. The transcript is spliced from 3 exons. Lineage: Eukaryota; Metazoa; Arthropoda; Copepoda; Harpacticoida; Harpacticidae. The record is from RefSeq and is a predicted model, not a curated record.
GGUUAUUGUUCCAUUCAGUUCUCCGAAGGGCGUUCGAACUCUCCUUCACCAUUCGACCUUUAUUUGGACCAAGCUUUUAUGGUCCCAGGAGUACCACGCUUAGCCAAGGUUGAGGCCAUGACUUGUCCAACUGUGGUUCAAUUUGAUGUGCCUGGUUUAGGAACUGGUGCUCACUGUGGAGGAGUUUGAACACCGUCGAAGAUUCAACUGUUCCGGGCUCGGUAACAAGUGAGGUGACUCCUUUCCGUGUGACGACUAUUUUUGGUGACAACCUUGGGCUGCCGCCACGCCCGGCCAGUGGCUGGUUACAGUCUUCAAUAUUCUCAAGUACCCUGCUAGAUUUGACGCAUAUUAUAUUUUAGCGCUAAAAGUAAUUUUUCAUUCGAGAAUCAUUUUCAUGAAUAGGUUUAAUGUUCAUUUUUGAGUUAAAAA